RNAcentral lists this ribosomal RNA (502 nucleotides) under uncultured Glomeromycotina. RNAcentral describes it as "partial small subunit ribosomal RNA". It matches the Rfam family "Eukaryotic small subunit ribosomal RNA", at positions 591 to 1092 of the family's 1831-position model. Lineage: Eukaryota; Fungi; Glomeromycota. The record is from RNAcentral.
CCAAUAGCGUAUAUUAAAGUUGUUGCAGUUAAAAAGCUCGUAGUUGAAUUUCGAGGUUUGCUCAUUGGUCAGGCUUAAUUGUGUGUACUGGUGAGAUAAAUCUCUACCUUCUGAGGAACUUUCAUGACAUUUAUUUGGUGUGAUGGGAAAUAAGGACUGUUACUAUGAAAAAAUUAGAGUGUUUAAAGAAGACUAACGUCUGAAUACAUUAGCAUGGAAUAAUGAAAUAGGACGGACUGAUUCUAUUUCGUUGGUUUCUAGGAUCACCGUAAUGAUUAAUAGGGAUAGUUGGGGGCAUUAGUAUUCAAUUGUCAGAGGUGAAAUUCUUGGAUUUAUUGAAGACUAACUACUGCGAAAGCAUUUGCCAAGGAUGUUUUCAUUAAUCAAGAACGAAAGUUAGGGGAUCGAAGACGAUCAGAUACCGUCGUAGUCUUAACCAUAAACUAUGCCGACUAGGGAUCGGACGAAGUUAAUUUUAUAAUGACGCGUUCGGCACCUUACG